CCUACGGGAGGCAGCAGUGGGGAAUAUUGCACAAUGGGGGAAACCCUGAUGCAGCGACGCCGCGUGAGUGAAGAAGUAUUUCGGUAUGUAAAGCUCUAUCAGCAGGGAAGAAAAUGACGGUACCUGAUUAAGAAGCCCCGGCUAACUACGUGCCACCAGCCGCGGUCAUACGUAGGGGGCAAGCGUUAUCCGGAUUUACUGGGUGUAAAGGGAGCGUAGACGGCAGCACAAGUCUGGAGUGAAAUGGCGGGGCUUAACCCCUGAACUGCUUUGGAAACUGUGCAGCUAGAGUGCAGGAGAGGUAAGUGGAAUUCCUAGUGUAGCGGUGAAAUGCGUAGAUAUUAGGAGGAACACCAGUGGCGAAGGCGGCUUACUGGACUGUAACUGACGUUGAGGCUCGAAAGCGUGGGGAGCAAACAGGAUUAGAUACCCCUGUAGUC
Molecule: ribosomal RNA, 440 nt
Filed under: uncultured bacterium
Lineage: Bacteria
Description: partial 16S ribosomal RNA
Rfam family: Bacterial small subunit ribosomal RNA
Source: RNAcentral